RNAcentral lists this small nuclear RNA (182 nucleotides) under Dermacentor silvarum. RNAcentral describes it as "U2 spliceosomal RNA". It matches the Rfam family "U2 spliceosomal RNA". Rfam says of the family: U2 is a small nuclear RNA (snRNA) component of the spliceosome (involved in pre-mRNA splicing). Complementary binding between U2 snRNA (in an area lying towards the 5' end but 3' to hairpin I) and the branchpoint sequence (BPS) of the intron results the bulging out of an unpaired adenosine, on the BPS, which initiates a nucleophilic attack at the intronic 5' splice site, thus starting the first of two transesterification reactions that mediate splicing. The record is from RNAcentral. Lineage: Eukaryota; Metazoa; Arthropoda; Arachnida; Ixodida; Ixodidae.
ACAUCGCCGACGUGGGUCAAAGUGCAGCAUUUGUUCUUAUCAGCUUAUUAUCUGAUAUGGGUUGUAGUUGGACCAAAGAUAAUAAACUUAUUUUUGCAAGUUGGCGGAGUGCUUGAAGCCUGCUUCACCUCCGCCGCGGGUCAGCCCGGUAUUGCACAAUCUUCGGGAUCGGCCCACAGUUC